This 495-nucleotide ribosomal RNA is filed under the name uncultured bacterium. Its description in RNAcentral is "partial 16S ribosomal RNA". It matches the Rfam family "Bacterial small subunit ribosomal RNA", at positions 28 to 505 of the family's 1533-position model. The record is from RNAcentral.
GAUGAACGCUGGCGGCGUGCCUAAUACAUGCAAGUCGAGCGAACGGACGAGAAGCUUGCUUCUCUGAUGUUAGCGGCGGACGGGUGAGUAACACGUGGAUAACCUACCUAUAAGACUGGGAUAACUUCGGGAAACCGUAGCUAAUACCGGAUAAUAUUUUGAACCGCAUGGUUCAAAAGUGAAAGACGGUCUUGCUGUCACUUAUAGAUGGAUCCGCGCUGCAUUAGCUAGUUGGUAAGGUAACGGCUUACCAAGGCAACGAUGCAUAGCCGACCUGAGAGGGUGAUCGGCCACACUGGAACUGAGACACGGUCCAGACCCCUACGGGAGGCAGCAGUAGGGAAUCUUCCGAAAUGGGCGAAAGCCUGACGGAGCAACGCCGCGUGAGUGAUGAAGGUCUUCGGAUCGUAAAACUCUGUUAUUAGGGAAGAACAUACGUGUAAGUAACUGUGCACAUCUUGACGGUACCUAAUCAGAAAGCCACGGCUAACUACG